This 624-nucleotide ribosomal RNA is filed under the name Rhodococcus sp. (in: high G+C Gram-positive bacteria). RNAcentral's name for it is "bacterial SSU rRNA". It matches the Rfam family "Bacterial small subunit ribosomal RNA", at positions 137 to 776 of the family's 1533-position model. Lineage: Bacteria; Bacillati; Actinomycetota; Actinomycetes; Mycobacteriales; Nocardiaceae. The record is from RNAcentral.
UUCGGGAUAAGCCCGGGAAACUGGGUCUAAUACCGGAUAGGACUGCGCGGUGCAUGCCGUGUGGUGGAAAGAUUUAUCGGUGCAGGAUGGGCCCGCGGCCUAUCAGCUUGUUGGUGGGGUAAUGGCCUACCAAGGCGACGACGGGUAGCCGGCCUGAGAGGGCGACCGGCCACACUGGGACUGAGACACGGCCCAGACUCCUACGGGAGGCAGCAGUGGGGAAUAUUGCACAAUGGGCGCAAGCCUGAUGCAGCGACGCCGCGUGAGGGAUGACGGCCUUCGGGUUGUAAACCUCUUUCAGCAGGGACGAAGCGCAAGUGACGGUACCUGCAGAAGAAGCACCGGCCAACUACGUGCCAGCAGCCGCGGUAAUACGUAGGGUGCAAGCGUUGUCCGGAAUUACUGGGCGUAAAGAGCUCGUAGGCGGUUUGUCGCGUCGUCUGUGAAAACCAGCAGCUCAACUGUUGGCUGCAGGCGAUACGGGCAGACUUGAGUAUUUCAGGGGAGACUGGAAUUCCUGGUGUAGCGGUGAAAUGCGCAGAUAUCAGGAGGAACACCGGUGGCGAAGGCGGGUCUCUGGGAAAUAACUGACGCUGAGGAGCGAAAGCGUGGGUAGCGAACAGG